This 275-nucleotide unclassified non-coding RNA is filed under the name uncultured Hymenochaetales. RNAcentral's name for it is "sequence contains ITS2". The record is from RNAcentral. Lineage: Eukaryota; Fungi; Basidiomycota; Agaricomycetes; Hymenochaetales.
UGAUCUCAAUUCCCUUAGGCUUUGUGAAUGCAGGCCUGUCCCUAGGGUAUUGGAUUUGGGGGUUCAUGCAGGCUCCUUGUAGGGCUAGCUCCCCUUAAAUAUAUUAGCUUUGGAGGAUGAAGCAAAAAGGCUCUUAGUAUCUGUUCAUUGGCUAUGGUGUAAUAAUUGUUCCAUCAUGGCAUUUAUCGAUGAAUCAGUGCAUGGGAAAUAACCAGGGAGACUUUUGCAGCAUUCUCUGCUUCUAAUUUGGUCAGAUCUAUCUGAUAAUUCAUAUC